Non-coding RNA from Callorhinus ursinus (northern fur seal), 2316 nucleotides. The record is from RefSeq and is a predicted model, not a curated record. Lineage: Eukaryota; Metazoa; Chordata; Mammalia; Carnivora; Otariidae.
UUUUUUUUUUAGAUUCCAUAAAUAAGUGAUGAUACCGUGCAAUAUUUGUCUUUCUUUGGCUUAUUUCACUAAGUAUAAUGCCCUCGAGAUCCACCCAUGUUGCAAAUGCAGAAUGUCUUUCUCAUGCCUGAAUCAUCCUCCAUUGCAUACAUUUACCACCGCUCCUUUAUCUUGUUCAUUCAUCGACUGCCACUCAGGUGUUCCCAUAUCUUAGCUGCUGUGGAUCAUGCUGAUGAAGCUGCAGUGCACAGUGGAGUUGAAGAAGUCCCUUUCACAUUUCUUGUGAGACUGGCCUAGUGGUGAUGAACUGCUUCAGCUCUUGCUUGUCCAGAAAACUGUCAUUCAAACCUGAAGAACAACUUUGCUGGGUAAAGUAUUGGUUGGCAUUUUUUUUUUCCUUUCAGCACUUAGAAUAUAUCCUGCCGUUCUCUUCAGGCCUGCAGACUUUGCUGAAAACUCUUCUUAAGGGGUUUUCCUUGUAAGUAACAAGUCAUUUUUUCUCUUGCUGCUUCUAAGAUUCUCUCCUUGGCUUUAGCUUUUGACACUUUAAUUAUAAUGUGUCUCAAUGUGGGACUGUGUGGAUUCAUCUUUUUUGGAACUCUCUGGGCCCCCUAGAUCUGGAUUUCUGUUUGUUUUCCCAGGUUAGGGAAGUGUUCAGCCAUUAUUUCUUUGAAUAAGCUCUCUGCCCCUUUCUGUCUCCUUCUGGGACCCCAGUAAUGCAAAUAUUUGUUCACUUGAUGUUGUCACAUACGAGCUUUAAGUCCCCUUCCUCCGUCUCCUCUUCUGAUUGGAUGAGAUUCGCCGUCCUGAUUUCGCGGAUCCUUUCUUCCACGUGGGAAAGUCUGACUCCUUAAGUUUUCAGUUCAGUUACUGUAUCCUUCAGCUCGGAUUUCUCUUUGGUACUUUUAUAUUUUCUUUUUUGAAAUUCUCACCUUGUUUAUAUAUUGUUCUCCCAACCCAGUGAGUGUCUUUGUGGCUGUUACUUGUCAGACAAAUCACUGCUGUUUCAUUAAGGUCUGGUUAAGUUCGAUCUUGUUCUUUUGUUGAGCACAAAUCCCCGUUUCUUCAUCUUCCUUGACUCUCUUAGGUGGUUUCUACCUGUUGACCUUGUGUGGGAGACGAACAUCUUCAGUCAGCCUGGCCAGAGUCUUGGUUGUCUCUCAGUCUUCUGUGAUCACCUCUGCUGCUUGUUGCUUUCCAGUGGCUCCGAGCACUUGAAGGUGUGCGAGGACGCAAGUGUCCGGGAGGGGAGGACUGCAGUCAGCACCUAGAUGCAGGCGGGACUGUCUGGCAGCAGCUGACAAGUUCUUUGUGAUCCAGGAGUGCAAGCCCUGUUGCCCGUCAAAGCCAGGUUAUCCAGGGACCCAGCCUUUGGUCCCAGCUACAAAAGGAAGGGCACUGGACACACAUGCAAACUACUUCUAGAAGAUACUUGUAUCUGUAAGGAUUCACAAGAAUCAUUUGCCAGGAGGUUGUGUAUACGUCAUCUUUUCUGCCCCUUCCCUCUCCCACCGCUGUCUCAACCGGAAAAGGAGCGGCCCUUCUCGGAGCCACCGCUGAGCAGGCUCCACAUUUCAGGCUGCAGAGCUCCUGCCACACAAGACAAAACCCAUGGAGCCCCUUCUCUGGCUCUCAGUCAAGCCGCGGUCAGGAUUGGAGCUAUACCUUCAGAAUCCAGAACUGUUUCUCACCCUUGCUCUCCAAUGUGAUGCAUUCACUUUCAGAAGCUGUGUCAUUCUGUUCCUUUCUGAGAUCCACCACCCCAUCGUUUCUGAUCCUCUCUUCCCAUAAUCCUCACUGAUUUCUGCUCAGUCUGGGUGCUGGUCUCAGAAGUUCCCUCCCAGGGGUAGGCCCUCUCCUUCUGAAAAGGAGUAUUUGCUGGAAUCUUCUGAGAUCCUUCAGCACCGUCUCUUCCUGUGACCCCUUAGCAACUUCCCUUAGAGACAGUGACAGCUUGGAGUAUGUAGGUUUUUUCUCCGUUUUUCGUUUUACUCUAAGACCGGCUCCUCCCAGCAAUUCCCUUUCAGAAUGGAGACCUCUCUCUCCUAGUAGUGAAUUAUCUGAAUUCUAGAACCAGUACCUUUAGUAAUUUUUUCUCUGCCACGGCAACCUCCCACUUUGUGGUUACCAUACCAGGUGUGAGUGAGCAUCCUACUUAAAAAUAAUUACAUAGUUUGUGUCUGUUCCACUGAAGCUCUGAGCAACCCACACACCAAACUGUUUUCAGAAGUUGGAAGAUUUGGGGGCCCCUUGGUGGCUCAGUCGGUUAAGCAUCCGACUUCAGCUCAGGUCAUGAUUUGGGGGUCCUGGGAUAGA